Molecule: non-coding RNA, 18 nt
Filed under: Mus musculus (house mouse)
Lineage: Eukaryota; Metazoa; Chordata; Mammalia; Rodentia; Muridae
Source: RNAcentral
UAGAAAUGCGCCUCCUUC